Molecule: ribosomal RNA, 461 nt
Filed under: uncultured bacterium
Lineage: Bacteria
Description: partial 16S ribosomal RNA
Rfam family: Bacterial small subunit ribosomal RNA
Source: RNAcentral
UGGGGAAUUUUGGACAAUGGGCGCAAGCCUGAUCCAGCCAUGCCGCGUGCGGGAAGAAGGCCUUCGGGUUGUAAACCGCUUUUGUCAGGGAAGAAAAUCUUCUGAGUUAAUACCUCGGGAGGAUGACGGUACCUGAAGAAUAAGCACCGGCUAACUACGUGCCAGCAGCCGCGGUAAUACGUAGGGUGCAAGCGUUAAUCGGAAUUACUGGGCGUAAACGUGCGCAGGCGGUUUUGUAAGACAGAGGUGAAAUCCCCGGGCUCAACCUGGGAACUGCCUUUGUGACUGCAAGGCUUGAGUGCGGCAGAGGGGGGAUGGAAUUCCGCGUGUAGCAGUGAAAUGCGUAGAUAUGCGGAGGAACACCGAUGGCGAAGGCAAUCCCCUGGGCCUGCACUGACGCUCAUGCACGAAAGCGUGGGGAGCAAACAGGAUUAGAUACCCUGGUAGUCCACGCCCUAAAA